AACGAACGCUGGCGGCAUGCCUAACACAUGCAAGUCGAACGAGAUCUUCGGGUCUAGUGGCGCACGGGUGCGUAACGCGUGGGAAUCUGCCCUUUGGUUCGGAAUAACAGUUGGAAACGACUGCUAAUACCGGAUGAUGACGAAAGUCCAAAGAUUUAUCGCCAGAGGAUGAGCCCGCGUAGGAUUAGCUAGUUGGUGUGGUAAAGGCGAACCAAGGCGACGAUCCUUAGCUGGUCUGAGAGGAUGAGCAGCCACACUGGGACUGAGACACGGCCCAGACUCCUACGGGAGGCAGCAGUGGGGAAUAUUGGACAAUGGGCGAAAGCCUGAUCCAGCAAUGCCGCGUGAGUGAUGAAGGCCUUAGGGUUGUAAAGCUCUUUUACCCGGGAUGAUAAUGACAGUACCGGGAGAAUAAGCUCCGGCUAACUCCGUGCCAGCAGCCGCGGUAA
Molecule: ribosomal RNA, 449 nt
Filed under: uncultured bacterium
Lineage: Bacteria
Description: partial 16S ribosomal RNA
Rfam family: Bacterial small subunit ribosomal RNA
Source: RNAcentral